This is a non-coding RNA of Myotis davidii, 75 nucleotides long. The record is from Rfam. Lineage: Eukaryota; Metazoa; Chordata; Mammalia; Chiroptera; Vespertilionidae.
GGCAGUUCUUGGUUGACACACACCGGAAUCGGGCUCCUUCCUCUCUGGUUCUGGGUGCAUCACUCAAGAACCGCA